AAUCCAUAGGUUAAUGAGGCGAACCGGGGGAACUGAAACAUCUAAGUACCCCGAGGAAAAGAAAUCAACCGAGAUUCCCCCAGUAGCGGCGAGCGAACGGGGAGGAGCCCAGAGCCUGAAUCAGCAUGUGUGUUAGUGGAAGCGUCUGGAAAGGCGCGCGAUACAGGGUGACAGCCCCGUACACAAAAGCGCAUGUGCUGUGAGCUCGAUGAGUAGGGCGGGACACGUGGUAUCCUGUCUGAAUAUGGGGGGACCAUCCUCCAAGGCUAAAUACUCCUGACUGACCGAUAGUGAACCAGUACCGUGAGGGAAAGGCGAAAAGAACCCCGGCGAGGGGAGUGAAAAAGAACCUGAAACCGUGUACGUACAAGCAGUGGGAGCACCCUUUUGGGUGUGACUGCGUACCUUUUGUAUAAUGGGUCAGCGACUUAU
Molecule: ribosomal RNA, 432 nt
Filed under: Salmonella enterica
Lineage: Bacteria; Pseudomonadati; Pseudomonadota; Gammaproteobacteria; Enterobacterales; Enterobacteriaceae
Also listed under: 1 other name
Description: partial 23S ribosomal RNA
Rfam family: Bacterial large subunit ribosomal RNA
Source: RNAcentral